AGCUCCGACGGUCUAGUGGUUAGAGCGUCCGCCUCGGAUGCGGAAGGUCGUGGGUUCGAUCCCCGGUCGAGUCA
This is a non-coding RNA of Potamilus streckersoni, 74 nucleotides long. The record is from the annotation of a GenBank genome assembly. NCBI's taxonomy places the organism in Eukaryota, Metazoa, Mollusca, Bivalvia, Unionida, Unionidae.